RNAcentral lists this ribosomal RNA (253 nucleotides) under uncultured bacterium. Its description in RNAcentral is "partial 16S ribosomal RNA". It matches the Rfam family "Bacterial small subunit ribosomal RNA", at positions 524 to 776 of the family's 1533-position model. The record is from RNAcentral.
GACGUAGGGCGCGAGCGUUGUCCGGAUUUAUUGGGCGUAAAGAGCUCGUAGGCGGCUUGUUGCGUCGGCUGUGAAAACCCAUGGCUCAACCGUGGGCUUGCAGCCGAUACGGGCAGGCUAGAGUUCGGUAGGGGAGACUGGAAUUCCUGGUGUAGCGGUGAAAUGCGCAGAUAUCAGGAGGAACACCGGUGGCGAAGGCGGGUCUCUGGGCCGAUACUGACGCUGAGGCGCGAAAGCUAGGGGAGCGAACGGG